GGCACUAUAGCCAAGUGGUUACGGCGAUAGAUUUGAAUCUUCAUUAUCUAUUUCUCUUUGAGAGCACAGGUUCGAACCCUGUUGGUGUCG
Non-coding RNA from Mucidula mucida, 90 nucleotides. NCBI's taxonomy places the organism in Eukaryota, Fungi, Basidiomycota, Agaricomycetes, Agaricales, Physalacriaceae. The record is from the annotation of a GenBank genome assembly.